Molecule: non-coding RNA, 370 nt
Organism: Lupinus albus (white lupine)
Lineage: Eukaryota; Viridiplantae; Streptophyta; Magnoliopsida; Fabales; Fabaceae
Source: the annotation of a GenBank genome assembly
UGUCCUUGAGUUCUAAGGAGACAAGAACUGAAGUCUGGUUGAUGAAUCAUGACCGUGUAAUCAGAGCGUGAUUAAUGGCUCUGUUGAUCUCUCUUCGGAGAGUGUCAUUUGUGGCAAUGGAGGAUCGUUCUCAGACAGUGUGUAGAACAUCAGAGUUGUAGAACCAAAGCGUUUUACUUAACCUUCGAGGUAAAUGAUGACCCUCAUUGUUUUGGGCUUUCCAUGGACUAACCCAAAAUGAACCUUUUCCAAAGUUUGUUUUUUAACUAUUCAAGUAAUGUAAAGUCCUAAUUGAAAAUUUGUAUAUUUAAUAUUAAAAGUUAAUAUUUACUGAAUGUUUAGACAAAUAAACAGUUAAACAAGUAGUACG